CCUGAUCCAGCCAUGCCGCGUGAGUGAAGAAGGCCUUAGGGUUGUAAAGCUCUUUCAGCAGGGAAGAUGAUGACGGUACCUGCAGAAGAAGCCCCGGCUAACUCCGUGCCAGCAGCCGCGGUAAUACGGAGGGGGCUAGCGUUGCUCGGAAUUACUGGGCGUAAAGAGCAUGUAGGCGGAUUGUAUAGUCAGGCGUGAAAGCCCCAGGCUCAACCUGGGAACUGCGUUUGAUACUUACAGUCUAGAGUCCGAGAGAGGGUGGUGGAAUUCCCAGUGUAGAGGUGAAAUUCGUAGAUAUUGGGAAGAACACCAGUGGCGAAGGCGGCCACCUGGCUCGGUACUGACGCUGAGAUGCGAAAGCGUGGGGAGCGAACAGGAUUAGAUACCCUGGUAGUCCACGCCGUAAACGAUGUGCGCUAGACGUCGGGCAGCUUGCUGUUCGGUGUCGCAGCUAACGCAUUAAGCGCACCGCCUGGGGAGUACGGUCGCAAGAUUAAAACUCAAAGGAAUUGACGGGGGCCCGCACAAGCGGUGGAGCAUGUGGUUUAAUUCGAUGCAACGCGCAGAACCUUACCAGCCCUUGACAUACCGAUCGCGAUUUCCAGAGAUGGAUUUCUUCAGUUCGGCUGGAUCGGAUACAGGUGCUGCAUGGCUGUCGUCAGCUCGUGUCGUGAGAUGUUGGGUUAAGUCCCGCAACGAGCGCAACCCUCAUCCUUAGUUGCCAGCGGUUCGGCCGGGCACUCUAAGGAAACUGCCGGUGACAAGCCGGAGGAAGGCGAGGAUGACGUCAAGUCCUCAUGGCCCUUAUGGGCUGGGCUACACACGUGCUACAAUGGCAGUGACAGUGGGAAGCAAUACCGCGAGGUGGAGCAAAUCCCCAAAAACUGUCUCAGUUCGGAUUGUACUCUGCAACUCGAGUGCAUGAAGUUGGAAUCGCUAGUAAUCGCGGAUCAGCAUGCCGCGGUGAAUACGUUCUCGGGCCUUGUACACACCGCCCGUCACACCAUGGGAGUUGGCUUUACCCGAAGCCGGUGCGCUAACCGCAAGGAGGCAGCCGUCCACGGUAAGGUCAGCAACUGGGGUGAAGUCGUAACAAGGUAACC
RNAcentral lists this ribosomal RNA (1103 nucleotides) under uncultured Alphaproteobacteria bacterium. RNAcentral describes it as "bacterial SSU rRNA". It matches the Rfam family "Bacterial small subunit ribosomal RNA", at positions 382 to 1501 of the family's 1533-position model. The record is from RNAcentral. Lineage: Bacteria; Pseudomonadati; Pseudomonadota; Alphaproteobacteria.